RNAcentral lists this transfer RNA (72 nucleotides) under Bos taurus (domestic cattle). It matches the Rfam family "tRNA". From Rfam's summary of the family: Transfer RNA (tRNA) molecules are approximately 80 nucleotides in length. RNAcentral also lists the same sequence under 2 other names. The record is from Rfam by way of RNAcentral. Lineage: Eukaryota; Metazoa; Chordata; Mammalia; Artiodactyla; Bovidae.
UGCCUGGUGGCUCAGACAGUAAAGCGUCUGCCUGCAAUGCGGGAGACCCAGGUUCGAUCCCUGCCUGGGUCA